This 487-nucleotide ribosomal RNA is filed under the name uncultured bacterium. RNAcentral's name for it is "bacterial SSU rRNA". It matches the Rfam family "Bacterial small subunit ribosomal RNA", at positions 28 to 524 of the family's 1533-position model. The record is from RNAcentral.
GAUGAACGCUGGCGGCGUGCCUAAUACAUGCAAGUCGAACGAGGUGCUUUUGUAGCAAUACGAGGGUAUCCUAGUGGCGAACGGGUGAGUAACGCGUUGGUGACCUACCCCAAAGUGUGGGAUAACAGUCCGAAAGGAUUGCUAAUACCGCAUGUGGUCUUCGGAUUUAGAAACUGAUGACUAAAGGAGCAAUUCGCUUUGGGAGGGACCUGCGUCCCAUCAGCUAGUUGGUGAGGUAAUGGCUCACCAAGGCUACGACGGGUAGGGGACCUGAGAGGGUGACCCCCCCACAAUGGAACUGAAACACGGUCCAUACACCUACGGGUGGCAGCAGUAGGGAAUAUUGCACAAUGGGCGAAAGCCUGAUGCAGCAACGCCGCGUGUGCGAUGAAGGCCUUCGGGUCGUAAAGCACUUUUCUGGGAGAUGAGCAAGGACAGUAUCUCAGGAAUAAGUCUCGGCUAACUACGUGCCAGCAGCCGCGGUAAU